Molecule: ribosomal RNA, 2876 nt
Filed under: sludge metagenome
Description: bacterial LSU rRNA
Rfam family: Bacterial large subunit ribosomal RNA
Source: RNAcentral
AGGGCGCACGGGGGAUGCCUGUGGCUCUCAGAGGCGAAGAAGGACGUGAUAAGCUGCGAAAAGCGUCGGGGAGGUGCAAAUAACUUGUGAUCCGGCGAUAUCCGAAUGGGGCAACCCAGCAUGUUGAAGACAUGUUAUUUCCGAAUGGAAAGGCGAACUCGGUGAACUGAAACAUCUAAGUAACCGAAGGAAGAGAAAACAAAAGUGAUUUCCCAAGUAGUGGCGAGCGAACGGGAAAAAGCCCAAACCAAGGUUGUUACGGCAACGUUGGGGUUGUAGGACCACGACAUAGAAAUAUUCUUGAUAUUGGAACACAUCUGGAAAGAUGGACCGAAGAAGGUGAUAGUCCUGUAUAAGAAAUUGAGGAUAGAUUUUAGUGGAAUCCUGAGUACCGCGGGACCGGAGAAAUCCUGUGGGAAACCGGCAGCACCAUCUGCCAAGGCUAAAUACUACUGAGAGACCGAUAGCGAACUAGUACCGUGAGGGAAAGGUGAAAAGUACUCCGAACAGGAGGGUGAAAUAGAACCUGAAACCGUGCGCUUACAAGCGGUCGGAGCCCAUUCGUUGGGUGACGGCGUGCCUUUUGCAUAAUGAGCCUACGAGUUACACCUCUCUGGCAAGGUUAAUUGCUUAGAAGCAAGAAGCCGAAGCGAAAGCGAGUCUGAAUAGGGCGCGAAGUCAGAGGGGGUAGACGCGAAACUUUGUGAUCUACCCAUGGCCAGGUUGAAGUUGCAGUAACAUGCAAUGGAGGACCGAACCAGUUAGCGUUGAAAAGCUUUUGGAUGAGCUGUGGGUAGGGGUGAAAGGCUAAUCAAACUGAGAGAUAGCUCGUACUCCCCGAAAUGUUUUUAGGAACAGCCUGAGGUGGACUGUCUUAGAGGUAGAGCUACUGAUUGGAUGCGGGGGCUUCACCGCCUACCAAAUCCUGACAAACUCCGAAUGCUAAGACAUAAUACCUUGGAGUGAGGCUAUGGGUGCUAAGGUCCGUGGCCGAGAGGGAAAGAACCCAGACCAUCAGCUAAGGUCCCCAAAUAAUUACUAAGUUGGUUAAACGAGGUCUGAUUGCAUUGACAGCUAGGAUGUUGGCUUGGAAGCAGCCAUUCAUUUAAAGAGUGCGUAACAGCUCACUAGUCGAGCGAUCGGGCAUGGAUAAUAAUCGGGCAUAAGUAGUUUACCGAAGCUAUGGUAUAGUGCUUUAGGGCACUGUAGGUAGGGGAGCAUUCCAGUCUGCGUAGAAGGUGAAUCGUAAGGUUUGCUGGAGCGUCUGGAAAAGCAAAUGUAGGCAUAAGUAACGAUAAUGCGGGCGAGAAACCCGCACACCGAAAGACUAAGGUUUCCUGAUCAACGAUAAUCGGAUCAGGGUAAGUCGGGACCUAACGCGAAGCCGAAGGGCGGAAGUGGAUGGACAAUCGGUUAAAAUUCCGAUACUGACUGAUAUUGUGAUGGACUGACGGAGAAGUGGAACUACCGCGUGCUGACGGAAUAGCACGUUAAAGGGUGUAGAUAAAUUUGUUAUAGGUAAAUCCGUAAUGAAUGUCGAACCUGAUAGUACCGAGAGGCUUCGGCUAAUUGGAUAGUGUAGGUAAUCAAGCUCCCAAGAAAACGUUCUAAACAUAGAUAUCAGUUACCCGUACCGUAAACCGACACAGGUAGUCGAGGAGAGAAUCCAAAGGUGCUCGAGUGAUCCGUGGCUAAGGAACUAGGCAAAUUAGUCCUGUAACUUUGGGAAAAAGGACCCCUACGUGAGUAGGGCGCAGAGAAAUGGCCCUGGCGACUGUUUAGCAAAAACACAUGGCUUUGCCAAAUCGCAAGAUGAAGUAUAAGGCCUGACACCUGCCCGGUGCUGGAAGGUUAAGAGGAGAUGUCAUCGUAAGAGAAGCAUUGAAUUGAAGCCCCAGUAAACGGCGGCCGUAACUAUAACGGUCCUAAGGUAGCGAAAUUCCUUGUCGGGUAAGUUCCGACCUGCACGAAUGGUGUAACGAUCUGGGUACUGUCUCAGCCAUGAGCUCGGUGAAAUUGUAGUAGCGGUGAAGAUGCCGCUUACCCGCAACGGGACGGAAAGACCCCGUGAACCUUCACUAUAGCUUAACAUUGACUUUGAAUAAAUGAUGUGUAGGAUAGGUGGGAGACUGAGAAUUGGCCUCGCUAGGGGUCAAGGAGUCAACCUUGAAAUACCACCCUUUGUUUCUUCGGAGCCUAAUCCCCAAAAAGGGGAGACAGUGUUUGGUGGGUAGUUUGACUGGGGUGGUCGCCUCCAAAAGCGUAACGGAGGCUUUCAAAGGUACCCUCAGCACGCUUGGUAACCGUGCGUAGAGUGCAAUAGCAAAAGGGUGCUUGACUGUGAGACCAACAAGUCGAACAGGUAGGAAACUAGGAUAUAGUGAUCCGGUGGUUCCGUAUGGAAGGGCCAUCGCUCAAAGGAUAAAAGGUACUCCGGGGAUAACAGGCUGAUCACUCCCAAGAGCUCACAUCGACGGAGUGGUUUGGCACCUCGAUGUCGGCUCGUCACAUCCUGGGGCUGGAGAAGGUCCCAAGGGUUGGGCUGUUCGCCCAUUAAAGUGGCACGCGAGCUGGGUUCAGAACGUCGCGAGACAGUUCGGUCCCUAUCUGUUGUGGGCGUUGGAAAUUUGAGAGGAUCUGACUUUAGUACGAGAGGACCGAGUUGGACGAACCUCUAGUGUACCAGUUGUUUUGCCAAGAGCAUCGCUGGGUAGCUAUGUUCGGAAAGGAUAAGUGCUGAAAGCAUCUAAGUACGAAACCUGCCUCAAGAUUAGAUUUCCUUAUAGGGAGGUUGCAGAUUACGACCUUGAUAGGUUACAGGUGUAAAGGCAGUAAUGUCAAAGCCGAGUAAUACUAAUAACCCGAAAUCUUUCCUC